AAUAAUCCCCCUUUUUUCAUUCUCUCACUUUUCCCCUUUCCUUUUAUUAGAUUAUUUCUCUCGAUUUUCUUCCCCUUUCCUUCUAGGUUUUGCGUCCACCACCACCACCACCACCACCACCACCACCGUAGAUUUCCCUUCUAGAUUUCACUUUUUUCAAUCGCCGUGGUCUUCAGUGUCUCAGAUCCACGAUUAAUCAAAUUUCCGACCUCCCAGGCGAUUUAGGUACGCGACUGGAUAAUUUUGCGGAAUUCGGACUGGAUUUCUCGUUUCAAUUGCAGCUGUUCGGCUUCGAGUUCGGAUUUUUCAUUUUCUCGUUCGUGAAGAACUUUUGGCUUUUUAGAUUAAAAGGUUGAGGGAGAUACAAUGCCAACUUGAUAUCCGACUUAAUUUUGCCGUAGAGGCCUCACUCAAGGUAAUACAAUUUCAACCAUUCUUAUACAAUCUUCGUAGAUAGUACAUGAAAUUUCAGCAAUUUCAACCAUAUUUGAAAUCUAAAAUUGUGUGUUUCAUAUUUUUAGAAUUUAGUUUUACGUCUGUCUGCAGAGCCACCUUCUUCUAAACAACUUGAAAACAGUUGGUUAACAAUUUUAUCUGAUCUUACUUCUGUUAUUUGUUUUGGCACAUAAUCGUGUGUUUGCAUGAACUAAUCAUAAUUUAAGUCGAAAUAUGGAGGUUUCAGAUUUGUUUUCAGAGAAAUGCACUAACGAAGCCCCUCGAAAAAGUAACAGAAGAGAGAAAGACGGGACAAAUGAUCCAUUGUGCUUUCCCAGCUGAGUAUUUAUCAUAAUUGCCAUUUAAUCAAUCUGUGGUCAAGCUUUAUAUUUUAUUGCAUCUAUAUUUGUAUGUUUCUUUCACUUAAUUUAGGUAACAUGUAUUGCGUAUUUCUUCUCGGCCACCGGCUACUGUGAUCACCGCAUCCGAAGUGCUGAAACCAGAGCAUCGCUCUCCCUGUAUGGCGUCAUACUGCCGGAAACUCUCAAGUCCUCUACUCUCCGGCGUCUCGGAUUUCCCGAUGCCGCCGCAUUGCGUGCUAAGGAUCUUGAUUGUGCUGAUGCCCCGUCGACUUUUCUAAAUUACAUCUCUGCCUUCGCUGAUGAACUCAAAUAAUAAUGCUGAUGGCACCAUGUUACAUGCCUUUGAAGACUGAAGUUGGCUGGUAUCGUGUUUUUAUGAAUGUUAAUGAUCAGUGUUUUUAUUUACCUUUUGAAUAGAUGAGUUUAAUUCCAAAGCUACGCCAUCCGUAUAUAGUUGAAUAUAAAGAUGCUUGGGUCGACAAGAUUUGAAAGUGCAAAGACGGUUGUGAGGAGGAAGUAUAUUGCUCCACUGAAGGAAGGAGGGUGUCUAUAUAUUAUGUAGUUUAUUUUUUAAUGUAAAUUCCAAUUUGAUUUUAUUGACUCAUGUAUUUUGUAUGUGUAAUUGUACGAUAUAUUCCAAUACAAUUUUAUUUUCAAAAUUAUUGUUUAGUUUUGC
Non-coding RNA from Erythranthe guttata (spotted monkey flower), 1473 nucleotides. The record is from RefSeq and is a predicted model, not a curated record. Lineage: Eukaryota; Viridiplantae; Streptophyta; Magnoliopsida; Lamiales; Phrymaceae.